GUGUUCUCGGUUAAUCCAGUCCAAAUUAUUAAGCCUUCAUAAUCCUCCAAGACACGUAAUCAGAUAAGACUGCAACUGAUUUGAAGAAAUCCUUAAUUGCAGAAAUCAUCAAGCCUUGCUCUUCUGCUGGGCGAGAUGAAAGCGUUCAUCUUCUCCGGAGAACACACGAAGUCCUCACCUUGCAAGCAGAGACCAGGCCCUCCCCAGACACUGAGCUUGGUGGCACUUGGAUUUUGGACUUCCAGCCUCCAAAAUUGUGAGAAAAAGUGCUGAAUAUCACAGAACACAAAGAAAAGAGAAAGAGAAACUGACAGAGCCUAUAAAUGUUGCACGAAGGUUCAGAUACAUACAGUUCUGCUGGCUUUUUAAGGAGCAGUGUUUCCUAUAUCCUAAGGCAGAUGGACAUGUUGGGAUGGAGGGACAUGGAUGGAGCUGGAAGCCAUUAUCCUCGGAAAAUUAACACAGGAACAGAAAACCAAACACUGCAUGUUUGUGGGAGCUGAACAAUGAGAACACAUGGACCCAGGGAGGGGAACAACACACACUGGAGCCUGUUGGCGGUAGUGGGGGUAUGAGGGAAGGAAGAGCAUCAGAAAAAAAUAACUAAUGUAUACUGGGCUUAAUACCUAGGUGAUUGGUUGAUAGGUGCAGCAAACCACCAUGGCACACAUUUACCUAUGUAACAAGCCUGUUGCACAUGUAUCCCGGAAUGUAAAAUAAAAUAAAAUAAAAUAAAUAGUACCCCAAAUGCAGUGCAGGACUCUGGAUUCAAUUCUGGAACAGAGAAAGGACAUUUGUGGGAAAAAAAGGGGUGCAAUCUAGGGUCUUUAUAUAUAGAUAAUGGUACUGUAUCAAUGUGAAUUUCUUAGUUUUGACUAAUGCACUAUGGUUAUGUAAGAUAUUAGCAUUAUGGGAUGCUGGUCAAGGCCAGAUGGUGACUUUCUGCACUCUUUGUAAUGUUUUUGUAAAUCUAAAAUGAUUCCAGAAUAAAAGGUGUAUUUAAGAAAUGGGGGAAAAAGAUAAGCAGCUCUGGGCCUUGGAGAGAGAUACAAAAAUUAGUAGCAAUUGAAAAUAAUUGAAGCCUCACCAGUAAAUAAGACAAUACAGAAAGAGUGACAGAACCUUCAUGAAUUCAUGAGAAUAAAUGCUAAAUUGCCGUAACUUAAAGACCCUGUAAUACCUUGACUCAGAGGACAAAGAAGUUUCAUUUUUUCUUCCUUAACAGUCCCAAUGUGAAGAGACUCAGCUGGUAGGAUAGCUCAACUCUACUUAGGCUUUUAGGGACAGUUAUGUUUGGGUGAUCUGCAAUCCCAUAGGUGUCAUCGCUAGCCUGGUUAAAACUAGAGUACUGCCUUCUUUGUAUUCUUGUCAUUUGUGCCAAUCAAUUGUAACUGGAGAGAGAGAAUAAAAAAGAGUGUAUCUACAGGUGCAUAUUAGUUCACAGGUUUGGUGGUAGAAGUUAAGGAAACUUCCCUCUGUGAAGGAACAAAAUCAAAGUCAUCUGUUUGCGAUCAAGAGGGGCAUGGCAGGGUUAUACAAAUGUGCAAAGAAGUUUGGAUUGUCUCCAAGCUUCCAUGGAUAAUGAGAAAUAAAGCUUUCUGGAAAAAG
RNAcentral lists this long non-coding RNA (1608 nucleotides) under Homo sapiens (human). Its description in RNAcentral is "cancer susceptibility 6 (CASC6)". Lineage: Eukaryota; Metazoa; Chordata; Mammalia; Primates; Hominidae. The record is from RNAcentral.